Lemur catta (Ring-tailed lemur) is the source of this 464-nucleotide long non-coding RNA. RefSeq lists it as uncharacterized. The transcript has 5 exons. The record is from RefSeq and is a predicted model, not a curated record. Lineage: Eukaryota; Metazoa; Chordata; Mammalia; Primates; Lemuridae.
UUUCAAGAGACAAACUGCUAGCAGACAUCAAACUUGAGAGGUUUGAACACAGCUCAAUACCUCCUGAAGCCUUAGGUGAAGUGCAAGAUGUGGCUACUGCUAUUCUGAAGAGGUUCUGGUCUGUCCUUACUGAAUUUCUUCAACAAUGGAAUAUACCACCAGGAGUAAUCCCAGACCUUCUAACCAAUGUCAAGGUUGAGGUGCUUAAAUCGACGGAUCUUAUGGCAGCAAAAUAAACCCAGCAUCCUUGAAGCCCGGCAAUGCUCCACAAUGAAAGCAAAAACACCGUGCAAUACUUUUCUAUGAAAUGUUGUGCAGCGGAUAUCCUUACGAUUCAAGAACCAAGUAGAGUUAGUAUUCUUAAGUGUCAACUAUCCUUUAGAAUUUCAGCAAGUACCUUGAAUUAACAAGUGCCAAGAAAGGCAAAAAUUCAGGGAUUUUUGAUGUAUUUUAAAAUAUCUCUU